GGCACUGAUGGUCCUCGUUCCUGUAACUGGUCCUGUAGACACAGCCACUGUCUUCCACUGCCCGUUCUGUGGUCUUGUGGCCUUUGGCAGGCACCUCACUGGUUGUGGUUCUUUCUGGUGAGGUAAAGUAAAGAAGAAGUUGGUAGCACAUUUGAUUAACAAGUGUCUUAAGAUUUAUUUCUAAAGUAUAAAAGUGUGAUCAGUUGUUUAUAAAUCCAAAAGUAAUAAUACAUGCUGGGUUUAAGAAUUUGAAAAUGGGAAUGAGGUGAGAGGAGGAGGAGGUCGUGCCCCUCCACCCCAGUUGGAGCCCCACGGGAGCGUUGUAGCACGUGCUGUAUAGUUGUGAUGUCUACAGUCGGAGCCCCACGGGAGCGUUGUAGCACACGCUGUAUAGUUGUGCAUUGUAGCACACGCUGUAUAGUUGUGAUGCUCACAGGCUUCCUUGCAUUUCUCUCCAGCUCUGCUAGCCACGAACACUUCAAGUCUGCACUUAACACGCUUGCUUGCCUGUGCAUGGUUGUGCACCCUCAGUAACUUAGUUCCACGUUUGGGAUGAGUUGAGUUCCCUGACGUAGAAUUGCUGGGUUGAGGGUUUUUUAUAAUAAAAAUAUUGGUCUUAUUUUGGGGGCUGAAGGUUUUAAAAGCUUAAUACAUACUUCUAGAUUGCUUUUCAAAACGACAGAAACCAGCACGUGAUAAGUAGGUCUUACUUGAAAUAAAGACUUGUCUGAUCUCGUGGCAACUUUUAACUGGUCUUUUAAUAUUAUAAAUAUUGAAAUUAUUUUAAUGUUUCUUAGCACUGUUUCUGUUAUAAAUGAGACUUCAUUUUUAGGGUAAUUUGUGAUUUUAGUGUUUGAAAUUAUACGAGUUAAAAUUCAGUGAAUACCUGAAUUGUGGAAAAUUAUAUUUAAGCUACAAAAUGUCAGUAGAGAAAUAAACAAGAUAAAGAUUUUUUUCAUACAAGAAAAUGGAACGGAAAAGCAUUGGCCUUCUCAUAACAUACUACUCAACCAGCUUUUGAGGUAGCUUCUGUAGAUGAUGAUAUUAUAAUUAUGAAUGUCAUUGUCAUAAUUUAGCUUAGAAUGCAAACCAGUUAAAAUCACUUGGUUAAUACUGUUAUCACUGAGACACGGGUUCAAGAUGCAUCUAAAAGUUCAGUGCCUUGUGGACAACUUUUAAGGGUUUAGUUGCCAUGGAUUUAAAGAAAUUGUAACUAAACCAAUGUUUUAGCAUUGAUAAAUGGGAAAUUGCGGAAGGAUACAAACGUUGUAGAGUUUAACUCUACAACUUGGCUUAGGGACUCAGGUAUGGACAGUGAGAAUAACUUGGUUUAGGGACUCAGUUAUGGACAGUGAGACUGGCCACGUGAGUGCCUUUCUCACUGUCACACUCUUACCCAGGUUGGAGUGCAGUGGCUGUCGACAGGUGUGAUCAUAGCUCCCGCAGCCUUGAAUUCCUGGGCUCAAGCAGUCCUGCCUCAGCCUCCCAAGGAGCUGGGACUAAAGAUGUGUGCCACCACACCUGGCUAAUUUUUAAAUUUAUUGUAGAGAAGGGGUCUUGCUAUGUUGCCCAGGUUGGUCUUGAACCCCUGAUCUCCAGGGAUCUCUCCUGCCUUGGCCUCCUGAGGAGCUGGAACUACAGAUAUAUGCUAAUGUCCUCAAUUUAUGGAAAUGCAGAAAUGCCUUUUUUUUUUUUGAGAUGGACUUACGUUCUGCUGCCCAGGCUGGAGUGCUGUGGCGUGAUCUUAGCUCACUGUAUCCUCCACCUCCAGGAUUCAAGCAAUUUUCGUGCCUCAGCCUCCUGGGUAGCUGAGACUACAGAUGCCCACCACCACUCCUGGCUAACUUUGUAUUUUUAGUAGAGACAGGGUUUUACCGUGUUGGCCAGGCUGGUCUCAAAUUCCUGAACUCAAGUGAUCUUCCCGCCUCGGCCUCCCAAGGUACUGGAAUUAUAGCUGUGAGCCACUGCACCCUCCCGGAAAUGCUUUUUAACGGUCACCUCCUAGGGGAGAUGAAGAGAGUUACCGCAUAAUCAGUUUUAACUGUAUUUGUAAUGUUUGUUUCUUUACCUGGGAGGAUAUAUUGUAGAUAUGUCAGAUAGAAUACUUAACUGACACAAUGGUGUGCAGGCUAUGGCUGCAAAGUAGAAAGUUUCAAAAUAGAAUGCUUGGAUUUUUAUUUGAAUUGGAUGAAGUUUUUGUGUCCUAGAGAAAUUCACAAAACGUUCCUAGUUUUAGAUAAAAGGUUAUGAUUUAAUAUCUUUGCUUUUGUUCUUUCUUGUCUUUGAAUAGAACAGUGGGGGACGGUAAGGUUUGUUUGCAAAGUACCUAUGACCAUCUUACAUUAAUUUUAUGGGCGGGGGGCGUUGACUGUGGAAUGUGGGCAGUAACUUGCACAGUCAGUAACCGUUGGAGUAACUUCUUGUUGGCAUCCCCAUUCUGGCACUCCUCCUCUAGGUCUCUACCUCACAUGCUGGCUUGUGGGCGGAGGGGCAGGUUGGUGCGUGGGGUGUCCGGGCACUGGCUAUGCAUGCCUUCUUACUCUUCUGUCUCUUGGCCACCUUUUCCAAAAAGUCACCAGUGACCAAUUCUCCCAAUGUUUCUUUCUUUGGGACUCAAUGUCUUGGGCUUGGCAUUGGGUAAAGCCGACUGGCCAGUUUCAUUCUGACGAGCUCUAUAGUCGUCCGGUGUGGAUCUCUGCUCUCCCUGCUCUGCAGAAGCUUCCUCAGCCUUUGCUCCUCACUAUUUACUAUUUGCGGGUCCUGGGGGUACCCAGCGUCUCAGGGUUUUGGCUGCCCACCUGUACGUCGGUCCUUUCAGACUGUGGUCAGAGUCAACCUCAGGUGCUGCUUUUCUCUAGUCACUGAAUUUUUUUUUAGUAGAGACAAAGUCUUGCUGUGUUAUCCAGCCUGGAUUCAAACUCCUGAACUCAAGGAAUCCUCCCACUCAGCCUCCAGAGUAGCUGGAUGAAGUCACUCUUGUUCAUAACCUCAGUUGCUUCAUGAAUCUCGAUUUCUGCUUGAUUUCAGUGCUUGCUGUUGUAUCCUUGUGUGCUGUGGUAUUUAUUGUUAACAUUUGUGACUCAAAUGUAUCCACUCCCUGCUUUGGUGGCUUUGGCCUGCAAGUAGGCCGCACUAAUUCUGUAGAUGGUCGUGGCUUGCCUUUGUCUUUACCUUGCAUGCGUUUAUGUCUUAAUGCAUCUAUUAGGAUUCCUUGCUUUUAUCACAGGUUUCCCGUUUUUCUGAAAAAAUUACAGUAAUUAACUCAGAACCCAGGUAAAUUAAAAAGGUUUGUAUACUUCAUGAAUUUUUAGUAAGCACUCAUUGAUUGGUAACAGCAACAGAGGAAAACAAAACAGUCAGUUCUGAUCUUGAUUUCCAGGAGCACUUUGUGUUUCCACUUGGCAGCGUGAUGCUUCCUCAUGUCGGUGAUUUUCUGUUGAGACACCUUCAAGCGUUAAUCUUACGUCUGCUUGUUAACAUUUGUUCAGAUUUGAUUUCAGCUAAUCCUUAAAAGUGUUUUGAGACAUCAAACUUAGAAUAAAAGGAAUUUCCUUUGCCGAGAUUCAUCAGGUAUUUACACUUAGCUGACGUGGCCACACCAUUCCUUCUCUGUGUGUGUUUGUGCAUGUUAGGGCAAUCCAUUUUUCUGUUUGUUUCUGAAUUGCUUUGGAGAAGGCAACUCAGACUCCAAGGAAUACAGCAGCCACCAUGUGAAGCUUUUCUCACUUUUCCAGUGGUCGUAGCAGGAACAGCGUCUUAACAGGACCUCAAAUCAGUGAUGUGAAAAGAGCUGUUUGAAGUGCAUAUUGGUGCUCCAUGAAGAAUGUGUAUAUGUGCUGUUUUUUAAUUAGGUCUGGUAAUUUAUUUGAUAUAAUGUAUUGUAGUUUUAGUUGAAAAUUAAAGUAGUUAGUAAAACUGUUGGUAGUAUUUCAGUUACUCUGUAGAUAAGCUCUUUUGUUACAACCUCUUAAGUUUUUUGUUCCUGAACAUGUUACAAACAUCUGUUUUCUCUUACUGUAGCUAUCACAUGAGGAAAAAAACUUGAAAAAAAGACUUCAUAGUGUGUGUUUAUGUUUGAUUUUAGAAGACCCUUUUGAGGACUUCUUUGGGAAUCGAAGGGGUCCCCGAGGAAGCAGAAGCCGAGGGACGGGGUCGUUUUUCUCCGCGUUCAGUGGAUUUCCAUCUUUUGGAAGUGGAUUUUCUUCUUUUGAUACAGGAUUUACUUCAUUUGGGUCACUAGGUCACGGGGGCCUCACUUCCUUCUCUUCCACGUCAUUUGGUGGUAGUGGCAUGGGCAACUUCAAAUCAAUAUCAACUUCAACUAAAAUGGUUAAUGGCAGAAAAAUCACUACAAAGAGAAUUGUCGAGAACGGUCAAGAAAGAGUAGAAGUUGAAGAAGAUGGCCAGUUAAAGUCCUUAACAAUAAAUGGUAAGGAGCAGCUGCUGCGCUUGGAUAACAAGUAAUUCAACGCACGCGCUUAACAGAAAUGUUAAACUAUAACAAGCACCAUUUGAGGAUUAACAGGAACAUUUUUUUGAAGAUUUCAAACGAACUCGACUUUCAGUAUAAUUGUACCUAAAGUAUUUAUAAACAGCUCAUCGGAGCCUCUAUUUGUCAUAGACUUUUGAGUUGAUUGUUGGGACCACAUAAUAGGACCAUUUUUUUUUGUCUUUAAAAUUGUUGUAAAUCUCUGUAUGCACUUUGCUUUUUUAUUAAACGUACUCCAAGGUGAGUCUUGACUCUUUAGUGUAGGACAAGAUUGUACACUAACACCAGCAUGGACCUGCUUUUCAUUGUGUCUGAAAUGUGAGCCACGUAGUGUCGGCCUGCUGUGAAGUUAACAUUGCCAGGACGAUUCUUCUACAGAAAUAAUUUCAAUUUUUUUCAGUAUUUAGUAGUGAAAGAUAUUAAUGCAUUAAUGGUAAUACAUUUCUGGUUUAAUAUAAAUUAAGGAUGUUUUCUAGUUGUGCAUGAAUGCUGGCAACUUAGUAAGUUUUGACAAUUGUUUAAAUAUGUAAUGUUAAGCUUAGGUUUAAAAAAGUAAAGCUGGUAAACCGGGUCUUUGUCAUUUGCUUAAAAAAAAAAAAAAAGAAAAUAAAUGCGAAUGUGUUGGUGCAUUCUUCCUGAGUGGGA
This 5134-nucleotide small RNA is filed under the name Pongo abelii (Sumatran orangutan). RNAcentral's name for it is "retained intron". Lineage: Eukaryota; Metazoa; Chordata; Mammalia; Primates; Hominidae. The record is from RNAcentral.